Molecule: long non-coding RNA, 909 nt
Filed under: Pongo abelii (Sumatran orangutan)
Lineage: Eukaryota; Metazoa; Chordata; Mammalia; Primates; Hominidae
Description: lincRNA
Source: RNAcentral
UUCACUCCCUCUAUUGCCUCUCCAGGCCCAGACUUCACCCUCAGGUCACCCUCACCUGGACUUUGGGGUGCCCCACACCCCGCCCCAGGCCCUGGCCUCUGGAAUAUUUGGAAACUUGAACGGGGCCUGAGGCUUAAGCUCACAUCUGUCUGGAGCCUCAACUUUCUCCUCUGUAAAAUGGGCUGACACUGAAAGAACCUUGCAGAAUCUCAGCAACGUCACAGUGGACAUUGUUAGCACAGCCAGCGGGCUCCUGCUGGGCUGAGUUUGUGGGUAACCCAAGCCUCGGCAGGUACAGUUCCUCCCUCAGGGCCCAGGACACAGAGAGCAUACAAUAGACAUUAGCUGCUGUGGUCUCUUGAUUUCAAGCCCAGUGCAGAUGCAUCUGACUUAUGAAACUUCAGUGACACCUGCUCUGUGCCAGACACCGAAGAUGGAGCAGUGAACAGCGCUGACCCAGCCUGUCCUCCUGUUGCCUGCAGGCCAGAUGGAGUCUCGCUUGUCACCAGGCUGGAGUACAGUGGCGUGAUCUCAGCUCACUGCAACCUCCGCCUCCCAGGUUCAAGCGAUUCUCCUGCCUCAGCCUCCCAAGUAGCUUGGAUUACAGAUAAGCAAGGUCUCGCUGUGUUACCCGGGCUGGAGUGCAGUGGCUACUUACAGACAUGAUCAUAGCAUACUGCAGCCUCGAACUCCUGGACUAAAGCAGUUCUCCUGCCUCAGCCUCCAGAGCAGCUGGGACUGCAGACAUGCACCACAGAGCCCAGCCUGAGUCAUUUUGAUUCUGUAACUGGUGUCCUCUCGGCGGGCUGGCUCACACCCUCCACCACCAGCUGGAGAUGGAAGGAGGAUGCUCACUGUUCAUUCCUCAUGCAGGCCAUCGAUGGAAAUGUCAGACAGUGCGAGUCCACA